Molecule: ribosomal RNA, 468 nt
Filed under: uncultured bacterium
Lineage: Bacteria
Description: partial 16S ribosomal RNA
Rfam family: Bacterial small subunit ribosomal RNA
Source: RNAcentral
GAUGAACGCUGGCGGCGUGCUUAACACAUGCAAGUCGAACGGUGAAGGCGGAGCUUGCUCUGCUGGAUCAGUGGCGAAUGGGUGAGUAACACGUGAGCAAUCUGCCCCUGACUCUGGGAUAAGCGCUGGAAACGGCGUCUAAUACUGGAUACGAGCUGCGAAGGCAUCUUCAGCAGCUGGAAAGAACUUCGGUCAGGGAUGAGCUCGCGGCCUAUCAGCUUGUUGGUGAGGUAACGGCUCACCAAGGCGUCGACGGGUAGCCGGCCUGAGAGGGUGACCGGCCACACUGGGACUGAGACACGGCCCAGACUCCUACGGGAGGCAGCAGUGGGGAAUAUUGCACAAUGGGCGAAAGCCUGAUGCAGCAACGCCGCGUGAGGGACGACGGCCUUCGGGUUGUAAACCUCUUUUAGCAGGGAAGAAGCGAAAGUGACGGUACCUGCAGAAAAAGCGCCGGCUAACUACGUG